RNAcentral lists this ribosomal RNA (429 nucleotides) under Acidobacteriota bacterium. RNAcentral describes it as "Acidobacteria bacterium partial 16S ribosomal RNA". It matches the Rfam family "Bacterial small subunit ribosomal RNA", at positions 355 to 776 of the family's 1533-position model. The record is from RNAcentral. Lineage: Bacteria; Pseudomonadati; Acidobacteriota.
UGGGGAAUUUUGGACAAUGGGGGAAACCCUGAUCCAGCCAUCCCGCGUGUGCGAUGAAGGCCUUCGGGUUGUAAAGCACUUUUGGCAGGAAAGAAACGUCAUGGGUUAAUACCCCGUGAAACUGACGGUACCUGCAGAAUAAGCACCGGCUAACUACGUGCCAGCAGCCGCGGUAAUACGUAGGGUGCAAGCGUUAAUCGGAAUUACUGGGCGUAAAGCGUGCGCAGGCGGUUCGGAAAGAAAGAUGUGGAAUCCCAGAGCUCAACUUUGGAACUGCAUUUUUAACUACCGGGCUAGAGUGUGUCAGAGGGAGGUGGAAUUCCGCGUGUAGCAGUGAAAUGCGUAGAUAUGCGGAGGAACACCGAUGGCGAAGGCAGCCUCCUGGGAUAACACUGACGCUCAUGCACGAAAGCGUGGGGAGCAAACAGG